Molecule: ribosomal RNA, 425 nt
Filed under: uncultured bacterium
Lineage: Bacteria
Description: partial 16S ribosomal RNA
Rfam family: Bacterial small subunit ribosomal RNA
Source: RNAcentral
GUGGGGAAUCUUAGACAAUGGGCGCAAGCCUGAUCUAGCCAUGCCGCGUGAGCGAUGAAGGCCUUAGGGUUGUAAAGCUCUUUCAGCUGGGAAGAUAAUGACGGUACCAGCAGAAGAAGCCCCGGCUAACUCCGUGCCAGCAGCCGCGGUAAUACGGAGGGGGCUAGCGUUGUUCGGAAUUACUGGGCGUAAAGCGCACGUAGGCGGAUCAGAAAGUCAGAGGUGAAAUCCCAGGGCUCAACCUUGGAACUGCCUUUGAAACUCCUGAUCUUGAGGUCGAGGGAGGUGAGUGGAAUUCCGAGUGUAGAGGUGAAAUUCGUAGAUAUUCGGAGGAACACCAGUGGCGAAGGCGGCUCACUGGCUCGAUACUGACGCUGAGGUGCGAAAGCGUGGGGAGCAAACAGGAUUAGAAACCCGGGUAGUCC